This 199-nucleotide long non-coding RNA is filed under the name Olea europaea (common olive). RNAcentral's name for it is "long non-coding RNA (OEUR_LNC010242)". The record is from RNAcentral. Lineage: Eukaryota; Viridiplantae; Streptophyta; Magnoliopsida; Lamiales; Oleaceae.
GGACCUAGGGCAUAAUACUUACAAACUCCCACUUGCACUAGAUCUAAUCACUUAUGUAUCCAAUAUCAUAAGUCUACAUGACGAUCAUGUUUAUGCUACGACAACUCUUUGUCAGUGGAUCUACAAUAUUGUUAAAUGUGGAAAUUUGUUCUUCUCUUUACGUCACUUCUAUGUAUUAUCUCUCUGAUGAGAUUAUACC